UCUUUUUCAUUCCCCAAUUAACUCACACCCAGUUUCAUAGAUUUUCUAUACUACCCCAACAUUACUCUCUCCAGGUAUUACCAUAAUUUUCCCUUCAAUUCUGUUUUCUUUUCUCUGUUUGUUUCUCGAGAAAAUUACCUAGCUUUUUUUUUUUUAAAUCUACGUGAGCUUAAAAGUGAGUAUCUUCUGUCUAGAUUUCCAGUCUUUGGUAGAUCUAUUAUAGUUAUGUUUUUUUUUUCUAUUUUUCAAUCAUUUGUUGUUAAUUUUGUGUGGAAUUGGUUAGAUUGGAUCUGCUUGCGGGGUUGAAUUGGCGUUUUUAAUGUGUUUGAUUUGAUGGGUAUAUGAUUUUGAACUGUUUCUUUUAUUAGAAAAUUCUGUUACACAUCCUUUUAACAAUAACAAUGUCUGGUGUAAUCAUAGAUUCUUGAUAUUAAUGGGUGUAACAAAGCCUGGUGAUUUGUGGUCAACCACUGUAAUUUUUGUGGAAUUGAUAAAAUGGACAAUUCUUUUUUUGUUUUAUUGGGUCAUUUUUUUCUUUGUUCUUUUUUUUUGGUUUUUUCUGUUUGGCAUUUCAUCAUUCAUCUGAUAUGCAUUGCCUUAUUGUUUUCAAUUAUUAUCCAAUGCAUGAAAAAUGAACACAAAGGAAUUAUUUUUAUAUAUAUAUACAUAUACAUGCAUUAUUAAACCGAUGCAGUUCGUACUAUCUGUAAUGUUUUGUUUGAGUGUAACAUUUUGUAUGGUGGUGUUGUUUAUGUCUUCUUUCAUGACUUUGAAUUUAGUCUCGAUAAUCUUUGCUACUGCUCACUAAAGGAGAAAGGAGAACAAAAUGCCUCAAUGAUCUCUGUUGUAUUUUCAUAAUUUUUUUACAAGUUAGCAGUAAAAGGGCUGGUUAUAUGGAGAAAGUAAAAAUAUACAGCAGAGUUGAAGGAAUGAUGUAAUGAAUUGAAACAUGGAACAAUGCAGACAGUAAAAGGGUACAUAUAUGUUGCCUUAUUUCCUUUAGUUAAGCUUAUGAAUUGAAUUGGUGAUUCAAAGAUGCAUGAAUUUCUAGCCUUUUAGUAAUAUUUCUCAUGUUCCCAAAUAAACUAAUCAGAAUUCCAAGGUAACAAAACUGACCAGUAUUGAAAUAGUAAUUUUUCUCAUGUUUUCUAGUUAUGCCUUUCCUUAUGAAAAUGUCCA
RNAcentral lists this long non-coding RNA (1179 nucleotides) under Gossypium barbadense (sea-island cotton). RNAcentral's name for it is "long non-coding RNA (GBAR_LNC002807)". The record is from RNAcentral. Lineage: Eukaryota; Viridiplantae; Streptophyta; Magnoliopsida; Malvales; Malvaceae.